Molecule: long non-coding RNA, 738 nt
Organism: Leucoraja erinaceus (little skate)
Lineage: Eukaryota; Metazoa; Chordata; Chondrichthyes; Rajiformes; Rajidae
Exons: 3
Source: RefSeq, a predicted model, not a curated record
UGGGAGAGAGGCGGGGUAUGCCUUUCCCAAUGGAGCGAACUCCACACACAGUAACACGCAUGGUAGCGAGAAAGAACUGAGACUGAGGGGGUUUCAUGUUGGAGAAAAUCAGAAAACAUUAAAGACACGAAGGGCAGUUACAGCAAGCCUCCUGAAGGAUUAGGAUCAAAGACACCUCUGACUCCGCGUAAGAACCGGGACAAAAAAGAGAAGAAUCAUCGAGCUUGCAAGGAUUUUUUUUAAAGUGACUCCAGAGAGUGAACACAAAGAACUGCAACAGCGAGAGACAUAAAACAGGUCCUCGCAGCGAAGCAGUCCAGAGUGUGUCGAAAUAAGUAGGGUAGAGAGCGAGGGAGAGAGAUUACAGACUUACACCAGUGGAAACAACAAAGCGGUGGGCUGAGAGAAUAUAGAUACACUAGGACAGGAAGAACUGCUAAAUAGUUUACUCUGGUGAAGUGCGGCCACUCGCCGCAGUGUAUGUGGAAGACACAAAAGGUUGGAGUAACUCAAUGGUCAGGCAGCUUCCCUGGGGAGAAGGAAUAGAUGACGUUUCAGGACGAGACUUCUUCAGAUACUAUUUAUGUCAUCUGAUUCAUACAGCCUGGCAUGCUGAGUGCUUCCAGCAUUUUCUGGAGGGUUUUCACAUUUCUGGAAUCUACAGAUUUUUGCUUUUUUAAAAAAUUUAACCUUGCACCCACAAUGGAAACAGCAAGUAUAAAAGAUAGAUAUGGAUUA